UCGAUUAGGGGUGCUACAACCUAUUGUGGCUGAGAUUAAACCCUCGAACCUGAUCCGGAUAAUGCCGGCGGAGGAAAAAGAUUAU
This 85-nucleotide non-coding RNA is filed under the name bovine gut metagenome. RNAcentral's name for it is "TPP riboswitch (THI element)". The stretch from base 5 to 78 matches the Rfam family "TPP riboswitch aptamer (THI element)", at positions 9 to 90 of the family's 105-position model. Rfam says of the family: Vitamin B(1) in its active form thiamin pyrophosphate (TPP) is an essential coenzyme that is synthesised by coupling of pyrimidine and thiazole moieties in bacteria. The record is from RNAcentral.